This 254-nucleotide ribosomal RNA is filed under the name uncultured bacterium. Its description in RNAcentral is "partial 16S ribosomal RNA". It matches the Rfam family "Bacterial small subunit ribosomal RNA", at positions 524 to 776 of the family's 1533-position model. The record is from RNAcentral.
UACGGAGGGAGCUAGCGUUGUUCGGAAUUACUGGGCGUAAAGGGCGCGUAGGCGGUCGUGACAAGUCACUUGUGAAAUCUCCGGGCUUAACUCGGAACGGUCAAGUGAUACUGUCGGACUAGAGUACAGAAGGGGCAACUGGAAUUCUCGGUGUAGCGGUGAAAUGCGUAGAUAUCAGGAGGAAUACCGAUGGCGAAGGCAGGUCUCUGGGCUGACACUGACGCUCAUGCACGAAAGCGUGGGGAGCAAACAGG